This 496-nucleotide ribosomal RNA is filed under the name uncultured bacterium. Its description in RNAcentral is "partial 16S ribosomal RNA". It matches the Rfam family "Bacterial small subunit ribosomal RNA", at positions 28 to 507 of the family's 1533-position model. The record is from RNAcentral.
GAUGAACGCUGGCGGCGUGCCUAAUACAUGCAAGUCGAGCGAACAGACGAGGAGCUUGCUCCUCUGACGUUAGCGGCGGACGGGUGAGUAACACGUGGAUAACCUACUAUAAGACUGGGAUAACUUCGGGAAACCGGAGCUAAUACCGGAUAAUAUAUUGAACCGCAUGGUUCAAUAGUGAAAGACGGUUUUGCUGUCACUUAUAGAUGGAUCCGCGCCGCAUUAGCUAGUUGGUAAGGUAACGGCUUACCAAGGCAACGAUGCGUAGCCGACCUGAGAGGGUGAUCGGCCACACUGGAACUGAGACACGGUCCAGACUCCUACGGGAGGCAGCAGUAGGGAAUCUUCCGCAAUGGGCGAAAGCCUGACGGAGCAACGCCGCGUGAGUGAUGAAGGUCUUCGGAUCGUAAAACUCUGUUAUUAGGGAAGAACAAAUGUGUAAGUAACUAUGCACGUCUUGACGGUACCUAAUCAGAAAGCCACGGCUAACUACGUG